This 5327-nucleotide ribosomal RNA is filed under the name Triticum aestivum (bread wheat). RNAcentral describes it as "partial small subunit ribosomal RNA". Lineage: Eukaryota; Viridiplantae; Streptophyta; Magnoliopsida; Poales; Poaceae. The record is from RNAcentral.
UGCCGCAUAAGCGCCACCCGGUCGCGCGCAGUCAGGGUUUGGGUUUGGGGUUUCGUCUCCUCUCUCAUCAUGACACCAGACAUCACCCCCAUGAGGCUUCGAACGGAGCAUGCUAAGAAGGGAGGGGGUACCGCCUCCGCCUUAGCCGCGGGCCUGCGCCUCCCCGCCCGCUCCUGCGCUACCUGCGGCGGCCAGGGCGCGGCCGCCUCCGGCAGGGGCAGGGGCUGCAAUUGUACUUGGGAGAGUUCUCCGGUAGCCUCAGCACACGAGUUCCUCUGCUUCGUCUGCCCGUCUUCGCCGUCUUCUGUCUCAGAGUUCAAAAGUGUGGGUCUUCUAUGGUCGAGCUACAGAAACUCCAACGGUUCCGCGCUUUGUGCUAACGUUACGAACUGUGUCCUCGGCCCUUCUGCUACUAACGGCACUACGAGUACUUUCUCAAACCCUUUUUCUAGCUGUUUAGUUUAUUGUUACCCUUCUAGUAUAAGGAACGUGGUUGUCAAGUCGAGCAGUGAGUCGUUACGCUCCACUAAUUUUGGGUGUGUCUAAAACUCCACCUUGACAUAACGCCACGGAGCCCCCAACUAGUGACCUGCGGAGUCUCUACCUUUCUUUUUCAUAGCUUUAGAGUCCAGUACCACUACUAUGGUCUACACAACGAUUCACGAAAUCCGUUUCGAAAGAACUCGAACCUGUACCAAUCAGAAUACUAUAAACUACUCACGGUAGCACGUUGACCGUUUGUGGGAAUAAGCUCUUAUUACUUCCUGAUGAUAGUGGUUAGACUGGUGUUCGGUUUCCACAAACCAUACUGCCGGAGCGGACAAUAUUCUUUUCCACAGAGAAGAUUAGACCUAACACUUCAAGUCAAGUGACUUGACCUUUUCGAAGAUUUACGAUUCUAGAUGCGACACCGACUAUCUCGUCUCUAUCUCGAAACGCGAGGAAGACGUUUUCUUCACCUGUCUAUGAUACUGGGUUUUUGACAAACAAAGUUCCUAAACUCACUUCUCAACCCUAAAAACGUAAGGCUCAUGCUACGUAAUUAUUGAUGUAACGUCUUAUUCGGAUUGAUGGUCUUAUUUCUUAGGCUACUUUAUCGAUUUCUUAGUGUCUCCGCAGAUAGGUUAAGAAGUCGGUUUUAGGACAUAACGUAGCUACUAUAACCAGAAGAAACACGAUCACUCCAGUGGUUUUAGAUGUAACUUUCCCCUGUCUCUUGUCCAACCGACUUCUUUCGAAGACUACGGUGUUUAUAAGUUUCACAACGUUUAUCGAGCAAGGACGAACGUCUUUAAAGUCGCGAAGUAGACUUCAAGAAACUCCUAUACAGUGCAUAUUAACUGUUCGUAGAGGUCGUUCCAUCGCUACACGAAGAUUUAAGACUCUCACCUACACACCUUCGUUAAUUCUGCCCAAUAUAAAGUGGUUUCGAAAUACUUGAGUAGGUUUAGAAGGCGAGAAAGUCAUUGACACUAGUACAGGCUACGGAGUAAAAACACCUAGCUUUCUAGUGACGAUCUCGGUACCUUGCCUGUUACUUCUUUUAACCUGUGGAGAGUGUAAAAUGUAAAAGAAGAGAAUGACCUCCCUCAAGAAGUCACCUGCGAGACUGGGGAUUUUACGUCUUCCUGUGUGACCUAAGUAAAGCGAGGCCUUUCCACUUGAAUGAUAAAUGAUGCCUACAGCGCCUUCUCCCAUAACUACAGUGUCUGACGAGCACACAUUAUUCUAAACUAAACGGUUUCUGAUGGGCAUCAAUAUACGUCAGUGCACCUGCUCGUGCCGUCUUCCUGAGAGUCAUGUAUGAUUACUAACUUUCCCUUUUACAAUUUGUUUUAUUAAACUAUAGACGGUAAAACUCUUCGCUCUUCAGUUACUAACUCUGACGAAACUUGUCUCUAAGGCUCCUAGAUGAGGGACCAAAGAAGGGACAACUUCUUUUUUUACUUAUGGAACAACCGUGUUGGCCUCGUUUUCAUUGACGACCAAGAUCGUAAUCACAAUAGCAGGUUAUGACACUGUUCGAAGACCCCCUGUUCAUGCUGUGGUGUUUUGGAAACAAACUCAAGUGGUUGGUACCACUACCAAAACACACAUGCAAUUACGAUGGUAGAUCACUGUACAACGGUGGAAACCACCCAGGUUUUCGUUCUUUGUUCUUCUUUCGUUUUGUCGAACAAACAGAACUACGUACAUGUUGGUUUGCUUUUCUCGAUGUACCAUGUUGAUCUCAUACACCCAACAGACCAUGGACCCGUAGUCUCUCUUGACGACAAUUCGAAGUUCCGAUGUCCUACUUUAAAGAAACACUGGUUCAACCAGUCUUUAUGAGAUUAAAACAAGACAAUUAACUAUUUUGAUAUCGUGUACUUCGACGAUUAAACCUGUAACUAGACAAAGAUGUACUGUUCUACCACUUUCGAAGUCAUAGAGGAACACCGGAAAAACUCAACCUACAAGUUGUCGACCUCGUUCGUUUCGAUAAAGUUCGUGAAGACAAGUUACCAAACAAGCCUUUCAACAAGUGACCUAGUUUUAGUAGGCCGCAAGGUGCCCUCAAAUAAGAGUCAUUUCUACUGUGCAAAUAGACCUUAUUAGGUUUAUACAUAAACUAAAAUGGAUACCUAGGAUGACACCUCAGGGUACUGUAAAGUACGUAGUUGACCUCUCACUAACUACUUCGGCGAUGUCGACAAUUUGAAAACUCCUUCUAAAUAAGACUUCUUUUUUACUUGUAUGACCCUUAAGAACUAAAGCUGGUUUUACUACUUCUAGAUUAAGUAAACCGGUUGUGUAGUACACUCCGAGUAAAGGAAUCUUUACACCAUCACGACCGUCAAGUGUGUCCUUUCUAUAUAUGACGAGAAGUACAACGACUAAAUAGACGAUUAUCGUGUAAACUACCACGUCGUCUACUCUUUCCUUGUCUUAAGGUAUGGAAACGUCUUAUGAAACUUUUCUUCAUACUGUAUCAAGAAGCAGUAGGGAGUGUCGGUAAUGAUCACGACUUUGGUUCAGUAUCCGGAGUGUUGUAGGAAAGGAGCUUCGAGUCUCUACUUCCAUUGCCACUCUUCUUUUUCCCACUGUGUAGUCUAUAUUGAUUCCGUUUGUUGGCACAAGUGUACGGGGGUCUCAACGACUAAGGGGAAUUAAAAAGACUACUGUAAAAUUCUUGUAAAAUAAACAAGGGUAGAAACUACGUAGCAUAUCUCUGUAAUUACGAUCGGUCAGUUGAUUUCUCACUUUAAAGUAUACUGCUAAGAUUACAUAGUUCGAAAGACUAAGAUCUUCGAUAGUGUUGAGAAGCUACGAGACUUCUGAAGAGUUACCUCGCAGACCUUAAUAACCCUCUAAGACACAACUUCAUACAGCAAUCAACAGUGGAAAAGGAUUUUAAAGGAUUGUACCUACUCCCGGUCAAUUGUAGGUCAUCCCAACUAUAUUAUAGAUUACGACGUGAAAUACCCAAACCUUAACUUGUGUUUUAUGUCCCAAUAUAUGCACUACGACGUAAACUAGGAGCAGCUACCGAACGUGGUCCUGUCGAGAGGUAAGUAGGACAAGGAACAUUAACGGCUCAUUUAAGACUCCAACAGUGACUCCUAUAAUUACACUUUCAUCCGGUCGACACACUAUUCCCUGUGUCUACCUACACAAGGUUUUGUUAAAGACUAACGCAGCUUCGAUAUUAGCCACGCAUAAUACAUCUUCCACCGAAUUCUCGUCGUUACCGACAAGAGUUUACCAACCCUUAAUUACAACUUCAACUCCUUCUUAACUAACCAGUCAAGAACUCACGUAGACACGUCUGAAUAGAAGGUUUUUUACUACAUUAACUUUUCCAACUUCGUUUUGAUCCGAUACAUAAAAACUACUUUCCAGAAGACGAUCUUCGAGAAUGGGUGGGUAGUGACGUCCUUAGUCGUCUUCCUAUAAGGAUGCUCGCAGACCUCAAGGAACCACUACGACAGAACCUAUAAGAGAAUUGUGCUGUAGAAAAGAUAUCAGUAUUUCUGUGGCUACUCCCCCUCGACUGUCUAAAUGCCAGACGUAGUCAUUUGUUACUUUUAAAACGUGUUGAGCGUCACUUCGUAUUCAAUAUAGUCAAAGAGGUCGUAAGAAGACCCUUUAAUGGUCUUUUAUAAUGACUUAUACACCUAUCAAAUCUCUUGGGAAGGUACCUGUUUCAGUUGGAAAAUAGUCUACGCCGUAAUUCUCCCGGAUUCCAAGACCCACUACAACAUCUUUCAUAACGCCCACGUUAAGAAUAUCUAUCUUUUGAACUAAACCUCCAUCAAACCCCAUAAAAGUUUGGAGAAGAAAGGGGAUAACAAUGUGGACUCUUCGACCUCAAUGGAGGGAAGUCUCUCGAAGAGCUUACCACGUUGUUUUCACCCAUGAAAGAUCCUUAAUUCACAUGUCUACCUUAAUUCGCAUGUCUACCUCUGUUUUAUCUCCGAUGAGACCUACACGUUGAGUUCCUCUGCGAGGAACAGUCCGUUCCAACACCGUUCUCGUUUUUCCUACGAUUUCGUGUACGUCGAAGGUACAAUGAGUUCCUGGAACUCCACCUUCCUGAAUAUCAUGGUUUCUUACGUUCGUUGUGCGUUGUCAAGGUCCUAGUAGCAUUGUAAAAACUACGUUACCUAUAUGUUGAAAGUUGUGGUUGGUCCCCUUUCUCUAGUCGACCUAGUUUCUAUCGGCGGUCAGAACUAUUUGGUCACCUGACCGGCCACUCUUACUCGUUUCCUCCUGGGGCACGUCCUGACAUACUCAAGACGUUUUUCAACGUUACCGGUCGAGGAUUAAAGCUAACACGCUUCCAUCUUGUUUCACACGGAUGCGGAGUUCCAGUUCCCAAGUGGAAGCGCAGUUGGUAUUUUGACGUGUAUGGCUUAUCACUACACUAGUCGGAGUGUCCCCUAACAAAACGCCUAUUCUUCUCGCGCUACCUAAGGCGGCGUGACGAGUACGAGAUACUCGAAGUCGUCGCUCCCUCUAACGUUCAGGUCCUCUAAGUACAAAGCACUCUCGGCAGACACUACGAUCAUUUAUAAUCAUAAGGGGUAACUGGCCCUUCAAACCUUCUCCGUGCACACCGUAGUAGGCUUAUUGCCUACGACUCCUACCUAUGAACACUCUCCGUCCUGUGUCGACUCGACUGGACCGAGACGACGGUCAGCGAUACAUACAACAUGAAACAAUUUUUUUUACAUACAACACGAACCGAAGUAUAUAACCGACGCCGUCCUUUACUACUCGGCUUCACGACGUUCAGGUGACAGAUAGUCAUGAAUUGUCCGCGUCAGUAAUAUAGAACCUACUAG